This is a long non-coding RNA of Pongo pygmaeus (Bornean orangutan), 3684 nucleotides long. RefSeq lists it as uncharacterized. The record is from RefSeq and is a predicted model, not a curated record. Lineage: Eukaryota; Metazoa; Chordata; Mammalia; Primates; Hominidae. The transcript has 3 exons.
AUAUUGAAGCCAAAUUAAAGAAGGAUGUGAAGGUUAGGCUAAGAAGUGUGAUGAGCUUUAUUUAGGUAAUAGGCAAUGAGGAGAAAUUGAAACAUGAAGGAACAUAAUUUGAGGUGUGAUUAUUUGAGUUUUUAAAAUAUUAUCACUGUGCAUCAGAACGGGUUAGGGAAGGCUUAAAUCCUGGAUGCUGGCUUGGCACCUAUUAGAGCAAUUAAAAUGAGAAAUGAUGCAGACUAAACUAGAAUUUCAGGUAAAAAUGAGAAAAAUAUGGUAUAGGCAUUAAAAAAUGGUAUAGGCAUUAAAAAACUUCAUUUGACUGAGUUUGAGUAUGGAGGAAAAGGAAGUAUGGAGAUCAAAAGAAAACAUCAGGAUUUGGGAGCUUGGACACAGAAAUGGAAAUGCCAAUUCUCAAGCUCAUACGUAAUUUCAACUGGAUUUUCAAAUGCAAAAUAAGUUGAAUCUCUACCUUAUGCCAUAUAUAAAAAUUAAUCCCAAAUGGACUGAAAACAUAAAUAUAAGCGGGAAUAUCAACACUUUUGGAAGAAAGCAUGGGUUACUGAUCAUCAAUCAACUCUUCCUCACUGGUGACAAUAUAAUCAAGAUAAACUGUUCUUAGAUUAUUUCUCUAUUUAUAUAAAUAUUACCAGUGUUGUAACAUACUGUGAGGACCUUAAAUAUUAUGCCAGGCUGAUGACUGGCCUUCAGCUCAACCAGUAUUUGAUUCAUUAAAAUAGCUAACCAACAUAUAAUUCUGACACAAAGCCGUGCUGGUAUAUCGACUGAACAAAAUAUCCACUUUCUCUGUCUGAUUUAGAAGUGUCAAUUUCAAUUCCUAUCAUAUCACCAUUUCCUAUUGAUUCUUCCCUAUUAACUUUAAUACUCUGUUGGAUUUCCUUUGAUUGUUCAGCUUAGAUGUCUGUGUAUUUUCACCACUUACAAAGUUGGUGACACCAUGCCUCCCUUUACCAUGUUUAUUUCUUUGAAAUAAUCUAUGCAGCCUUCAUCUGUGUAAUGAUCGGCCUUCUUUGCAACGUUCUCGUGGCAGCACUCUGUUUUUUACUGGAUAGUAUGUGAAGAAGGCAGAAGAGAAAAGUGCCUCAUUCAAGAUACGGAGAAUCAUUUUGUGAAGAGCUGGUGUCCUUCAAAUAGAGAAUGAAAUGGACCUUGUCUUUUGAAGAUGGAGAUGUAAUAAUUGUCUUAAAGUCUUUUUGAAAUAAUAAUCUUAAUAAUAUUCAAUAUCUCUUCAGAUUGAAUGGAAAGGGUAAAAGAGUUGGGAAGAUAACGUCACUCACAAGGAAUUAUCUGAAAUUCUUCACCCCAAGGGAUAUGAAUUAGCUUCCUCGAUUUUAUCCUGAAGAGGGGCCAUCAUAAAAGAAAUUCCAAAAAUAAGUCACAGAACGAAUAAACAAAAGCCCAUGAUUUUGGAGAUCUCUUCAUGUAAUUUUCCUCAAUAUAUGUGAUUAAUUUAAAAUAUUAUCAAAUGUGACAAUUUUUAGAAGUUUGUAAUGGUUUCCAAAUAUAGGCCUUAUAUUGAAACAGUUAUUGUGAGAUCCUGCUUUGGGAUCAGAAAAUAAGCUUAUUUCAUAGUUUUUAAAAUAAAUUUUAUUUUUAGAGCAGUUUAGGUUCACGGCAAAAUUGAUCAGAAGUUACAGAAAUUUCCGGUUUACUCUCUGUCCUGACACAUGCGUAGCCUCCCUCAUUAUCAACAUUUCCACCAGAGAGAUACAUUUAUUAUAAUUGAUGAAUCUACACUGACACAUCAUUAACAUCCAGAGUCCGUAGUUUACAUUAGGGCUCAGUCUUAGUGUUGUAUAUUCUAUGGGUUUAGACAAAUAUAUGAUGACCUGUAUCUACUGCUACAGUAUCAUAUAGGGUAGUUUCACUGCUCUAAGAAUCCUCUGUGCUCUGCCUGUUCAUUCCUUCCUUGCCCAUUCCUUAACAACCAUGGAUCUUUUUACUGUCUUCAUAGAUUGGCCUUUUCAAGAAUGUCCUAUAGUUGGAAUCAUGCAGUGUAUACCCUUUUCAGAUUGGCUUCUUUUGCAUAGUAAUAUUCAUUUAAGGUUCCUCCAUAUCUCCUCAUGGCUUGAUAGCACAUUUCUUUUUAAUCCUGAAUAAUAUUCCAUUGUCUAGAUGCACCACAGUUUAUUUAUCCAUUCACCUACUGAAGGACAUCCUGGUUGCUUCCAAUUUUGGGCAAUUAUGAGUGAAGCUGCUGUAAACACCUAAACACCCCUGUGCAGAUGUUUGUGUGCACAUAAGUUUUAAACUCCUUUGGAUAAAUACCAAUAAACAAGAUUUCUGGAUUGUAAGUUAAGAGUAGGUUUAGUUUUAGCCCGGCACAGGGGCUCAUGCCUGUAAUCCCAGCACUUUGGGAGGCUGAGGCGGGCAGAUCACUUGCAGUCAGGAGUUCCAGACCAGCCUGGCCAACAUGGCAAAACUCUAUCUCUACUUAAAAUACAAAAAUUAGCCUAGCAUAGUGGUGUGCACCUGUAAUCCCAGCUACUCGGGAGGUUUGAGGCAGGAGCAUUGCUUGAACCCGGGAAGCGGAGAUUGAAGUGAGCUGAGUUCCUGCCACUGCACUCCAGCCUGGGCUACAGAGUGAGACCUUGCCAAAAAUAAAAUAAAAUAAAAUAAAUAAAAUAAAAUAAAAUUAAAAUAUAGAUGUUUAGUUUCGUAGAAAACUGGCAAACUAUGUUCAAAGGGCUGUAUAAUUUUGCAUUGCAACUAGAAAUAAAUGAGAGUUCCUAUUGCUCCAUAUCCUCAUAAGCAUUUGGUGUUGUCAGUGUUAUGGAUUUUUGCCAUUCUCGUAGGUAUGUAGUAAUUAUUGGUAUGUAUGUAAUGGUAUCUUGUUAUUUUCACUUCAUGGAGUUUUUAGUCUUUUGUUUCUUUUAUGUUUUCCCCCUAACUACAUGAAGUGAAAAGUCAUAUUUUCUCUUUCAACUGGGUAAUGAACUGUCUUCAUAAAUCAUUGAUUAUUGGACUAUGGAAGUAAAAUUUUUUUUAAAAAAAAAAAGAAAAAAUGAGAACAGCACAAAUACAGUUCUGUUGGGGGUUUAUAUUUACUACCUGUAGGGCAAAAGUAUAGCUGAUUCAUGCAGGCUUCCUCAUGUUAGAUCGGUGGACUCUGUUCUCACAGUUUGCAGUCUACUGCACAGAACCAAAGAAGGCUUCUGCACUUUGCUGCUUUGUAUGUCACUGUGACCCACUGGGGUUGACUCCUUGAAGGCUUCUGUCGAUAAAGUGUUAGACUCCUGUGUGGUGUGGGUUCAUUCUUAAGGAGGAACAGUGCAUUUUCUUAUUGGAUAGCAGGGCUACAUUUGGUGCCUUCAUUUUCAGAAGUAGGUGGUAAUUAUGAUUUUAACUUUUUUGUCUCCUUAAUUUCCAAUAUCUGAGUGCUUGUUUUUCCUAUGAGAUGAUGUUACUUCUGAAGAAGGGUUCGAGAAACCUUCACUCUAAUGAAUAUUAAUAAAUAUAUGAAAUCCAUACCAUAGGUGCUUGGGUUCUUCUACUUUCCUUUUCAUAGCAUGUUACAAUUUUUCCUUUCACAUUUUGAAUGUUUCCAAAUACAUGGACCUUUGAGAUUGCCUAGCAACAAUUUGGAUUGAUAAUAUUUAUUUAAAACCUGCGUAUUUUGGGUCCAUUUAGACACAACAGAGAAAUUAAAUCUGUCUAUGACAUUUAUGG